This 492-nucleotide ribosomal RNA is filed under the name uncultured bacterium. RNAcentral describes it as "partial 16S ribosomal RNA". It matches the Rfam family "Bacterial small subunit ribosomal RNA", at positions 29 to 507 of the family's 1533-position model. The record is from RNAcentral.
AGUGAACGCUGGCGAUAGGCCUAACACAUGCAAGUCGAACGGCAGCACAGUAAGAGCUUGCUCUUACGGGUGGCGAGUGGCGGACGGGUGAGGAAUACAUCGGAAUCUACUUUUUCGUGGGGGAUAACGUAGGGAAACUUACGCUAAUACCGCAUACGACCUACGGGUGAAAGCAGGGGAUCUUCGGACCUUGCGCGAUUGAAUGAGCCGAUGUCGGAUUAGCUAGUUGGCGGGGUAAAGGCCCACCAAGGCGACGAUCCGUAGCUGGUCUGAGAGGAUGAUCAGCCACACUGGAACUGAGACACGGUCCAGACUCCUACGGGAGGCAGCAGUGGGCAAUAUUGGACAAUGGGCGCAAGCCUGAUCCAGCCAUACCGCGUGGGUGAAGAAGGCCUUCGGGUUGUAAAGCCCUUUUGUUGGGAAAGAAAAGCAGCAGGUUAAUACCCCGCUGUUCUGACGGUACCCAAAGAAUAAGCACCGGCUAACUUCGUG